GCUGGGGUAGCAAAGUGGUGAAUGUGGCAGGUUUAGGGUUUGUUAUCAAAGGUUCGAAUCCUUUCUUCAGUU
RNAcentral lists this transfer RNA (72 nucleotides) under Diplasiaster productus. Its description in RNAcentral is "tRNA-Leu". It matches the Rfam family "tRNA". Rfam says of the family: Transfer RNA (tRNA) molecules are approximately 80 nucleotides in length. Their secondary structure includes four short double-helical elements and three loops (D, anti-codon, and T loops). Further hydrogen bonds mediate the characteristic L-shaped molecular structure. tRNAs have two regions of fundamental functional importance: the anti-codon, which is responsible for specific mRNA codon recognition, and the 3' end, to which the tRNAs corresponding amino acid is attached (by aminoacyl-tRNA synthetases). tRNAs cope with the degeneracy of the genetic code in two manners: having more than one tRNA (with a specific anti-codon) for a particular amino acid; and 'wobble' base-pairing, i.e. permitting non-standard base-pairing at the 3rd anti-codon position. Lineage: Eukaryota; Metazoa; Echinodermata; Asteroidea; Valvatida; Goniasteridae. The record is from RNAcentral.